AUGUAUAAGAUUGGCUGUUUAAAGGCCAAUAAAUCAUAUUAUCAAUAUUUUCUGGUUAACCUCUAACUUUAUUGAGCUCUAAACUACCUGCACAUUUAUCAGUUGUGGAUUGUGAGUCAAAUACACUGUGACCACAAAGUUACACCUCCAGGAGUAUCAGAUCAGAAUCCAGCAGGAUUUUAAUAAAAUGCUCUAAUGUCAGAAGUAAGCACUACUUUGCCUCUUUCUAGAUGCGGCUCCAUAGGUCAACUUGUCUUCUACACCAAGAUGCCUUUUGGGUUCAGAGGGAUGAAGUGAAGACUCCCAGCCCCUGCACGUCCCUGCUGGAGCUUUACGUACGGUAUACAACCCAGACAGACCAGGUGUAGCAUGCUAAAAAAUAAGUGCAGAGUUAAGUUUUGAUCAAUGGAGCGAGAAGAAAUGGAUGCCACAGGAGAAAGGAUCUAAUGCUCUCCCGGUGAAUUGAGAAAGGCAGGUACACAAUUUGUGAAUGACUAAAGAGAUCUGACUGUAUCAUGGAAACCUCAUUGUUGACUUCUGGCCAAUUGCGAGUAACUUCGGUAUCGAGUUCAGAAAAGAAUGGUCUCUUGCUCUUGCCAAAGCAAAAGCUGCAGCAACAUUAAUGGAAGACAGACUCUGUUCUAGGCUAUUUACAACAAGGGACAGGACAACACUCAACUCAAUGUCAAUGAGCUCAACUUCAAUGAAGUUGAAUGAGGGCAGAAAAGAGUUCCUUGCUUUGAAAUACAUGAAUAUCAGAAAAGUGCCCUCAGGCAAAGAAGAUGCAGCUUUUUAAGAAAAGGAUCCAAUUUGGGAAGGAGGAACAGUGCUUCCAUGGCCACACAGAGCCCCAGCCAGACAACCUAGGACCACAGAGGAAAAAUUGCCUGUUAAAGAGUCGUAAACUUUGAGUGACCCCACAUAUGCGAGGCUGGCAUUGGACCUGACUGAAGACUCUUUCCUGACCAAGGAGCAUGAGGAUUUGCGUUAACUAAUCCUGAACAGACCAAUGGAGACCUCCUGCCUGUCCAGAGGGAUAGUUCUCGAGCCUUAAUGGGCUCAUCUGCCAUGAAAUCCCCUUCCUGACUUCCCCCCAUCUAACACCUCAGUAGGAUUCUUCACGGGUAUGUUCUUAAAAGUGGCAAAUAAAUACAACCAGCUUUAAAAAUUUCGUCCUGGCUCGGGUUGAUUUUGCAGUACUUUUGAAACCUAGAAUCAGGCUAUUAA
Leopardus geoffroyi (Geoffroy's cat) is the source of this 1227-nucleotide long non-coding RNA. RefSeq lists it as uncharacterized. The record is from RefSeq and is a predicted model, not a curated record. The transcript has 6 exons. NCBI's taxonomy places the organism in Eukaryota, Metazoa, Chordata, Mammalia, Carnivora, Felidae.